Molecule: ribosomal RNA, 301 nt
Filed under: uncultured bacterium
Lineage: Bacteria
Description: partial 16S ribosomal RNA
Rfam family: Bacterial small subunit ribosomal RNA
Source: RNAcentral
CAGUAGCCGCGGGAACACGGAGGGAGCUAGCGUUGUUCGGAAUUACUGGGCGUAAAGCGCACGUAGGCGGCUAUUCAAGUCAGAGGUGAAAGCCCGGGGCUCAACCCCGGAACUGCCUUUGAAACUAGAUAGCUUGAAUCCAGGAGAGGUGAGUGGAAUUCCGAGUGUAGAGGUGAAAUUCGUAGAUAUUCGGAAGAACACCAGUGGCGAAGGCGGCUCACUGGACUGGUAUUGACGCUGAGGUGCGAAAGCGUGGGGAGCAAACAGGAUUAGAUACCCCUGUAGUCCCUGUCUCUUAUAC